UACGUAGGAUGCAAGCGUUGUCCGGAUUUACUGGGCGUAAAGGGCGCGCAGGCGGCAAUACAAGUUACACGUGAAAGCCCUCGGCUAAACCGAGGAGGGUCGUGUGAUACUGUAUAGCUAGAGUGCAGCAGAGGAUAGCGGAAUUCCCGGUGUAGUGGUGAAAUGCGUAGAGAUCGGGAGGAACACCAGUGGCGAAAGCGGCUAUCUGGGCUGUAACUGACGCUGAGGCGCGAAGGCUAGGGGAG
RNAcentral lists this ribosomal RNA (245 nucleotides) under uncultured bacterium. RNAcentral's name for it is "partial 16S ribosomal RNA". It matches the Rfam family "Bacterial small subunit ribosomal RNA", at positions 524 to 768 of the family's 1533-position model. The record is from RNAcentral.